AUGGCACAUAGCAAUACAAUAGGUUAUGAUCCAAAUCUGGAGAGGAGCAAGAUCAGAUAAUAAAGUCAUACAUUGGUUAUACUAAGUACAAA
This is a long non-coding RNA of Protopterus annectens (West African lungfish), 92 nucleotides long. RefSeq lists it as uncharacterized. The record is from RefSeq and is a predicted model, not a curated record. Lineage: Eukaryota; Metazoa; Chordata; Ceratodontiformes; Protopteridae. The transcript is spliced from 3 exons.